RNAcentral lists this transfer RNA (63 nucleotides) under Tympanocryptis tetraporophora. RNAcentral describes it as "tRNA-Tyr". Lineage: Eukaryota; Metazoa; Chordata; Lepidosauria; Squamata; Agamidae. The record is from RNAcentral.
AAGAUGGCUGANAAUAGGCGGUGGGUUGUAAUUCCAUUUAUGGGGUGAAUUCCUCUCUUUGCA